RNAcentral lists this ribosomal RNA (1218 nucleotides) under metagenome. RNAcentral describes it as "bacterial LSU rRNA". It matches the Rfam family "Bacterial large subunit ribosomal RNA", at positions 1737 to 2925 of the family's 2925-position model. The record is from RNAcentral.
AGGGAUAAGGGACGCCCGGUCUGGUGACGGUGUACAACCUGAGCCGGGCUGGGCCGCAGAGAAAUGGCCUGGGCGACUGUUUACUAAAAACACACGUCUCUGCCAAGUCGUAAGACGACGUAUAGGGACUGACACCUGCCCGGUGCUGGAGCGUUAAGGGGAGAGGUCAGAAUACGCCUAACCGUGUAUUCGAAGCUUUGAACCGAAGCCCCAGUAAACGGCGGCCGUAACUAUAACGGUCCUAAGGUAGCGAAAUUCCUUGUCGGGUAAGUUCCGACCCGCACGAAUGGUGUAACGAUUUGGGCACUGUCUCAACCCGGGGCUCGGCGAAAUUGCAGUAGCGGUGAAGAUACCGUUUUCCCGUGGAAGGACAGAAAGACCCCGUGGACCUUUACUGCAGCUUGAUAUUGGGUUCCGCCGUGGCGUGUGUAGGAUAGGCGGGAGACUUUGAAGCCCGGUCGCCAGAUCAGGUGGAGUCAACGUUGAAAUACCGUCCUCGUUUCGUUGGAACUCUAACACGGGUCCGUGAUCCGGAUCGUGGACAGUGUCUGGUGGGCAGUUUGACUGGGGUGGUCGCCUCCCAAAAAGUAACGGAGGGGCCCAAAGGUUCCCUCAGCGCGGUCGGUAAUCGCGCGUCGAGUGCAAAGGCACAAGGGAGCUUGACUGCGAGACGGACAGGUCGAGCAGGUACGAAAGUAGGGCUUAGUGAUCCUGCGGUCCCGAGUGGAAGGGCCGUGGCUCAACGGAUAAAAGGUACCCCGGGGAUAACAGGCUGAUCGCCACCGAGAGUUCACAUCGACGUGGCGGUUUGGCACCUCGAUGUCGGCUCAAUGCAUCCUGGGGCUGAACAAGGUCCCAAGGGUUCGGCUGUUCGCCGAUUAAAGCGUUACGCGAGCUGGGUUUAGAACGUCGUGAGACAGUUCGGUCUCUAUCCUCCACGGGUGUAGGAAGCUUGAGGGGAUCUGUCUUCAGUACGAGAGGACCGAGACGGACGCACCUCUAGUGUACCAGUUGUCCCGCCAGGGGCACCGCUGGGUAGCUACGUGCGGACCAGGAUAAGCGCUGAAAGCAUCUAAGUGCGAAACCGGCCCCAAAACUAGGCUUCCCGACCGAAAGGUCCUCAAGGCCACUCGGAGAUUACGAGUUUGAUAGGCCGCAGGUGUAAGCACAGUAAUGUGUUCAGCCGAGCGGUACUAAUCGGCCGUGCGGCUUCAUUAC